This is a small nuclear RNA of Hippoglossus stenolepis (Pacific halibut), 111 nucleotides long. RefSeq annotates it as U5 spliceosomal RNA. NCBI's taxonomy places the organism in Eukaryota, Metazoa, Chordata, Actinopteri, Pleuronectiformes, Pleuronectidae. The record is from RefSeq and is a predicted model, not a curated record. The transcript has a single exon.
UGACUCUGGUUUCUCUUCCUCUUACAAAUCUUUACUUUUACUAAAGACUUCCGUGGAGAGGAACAAACAUGAGUUGAAUAUAUUUUGGCAGGCUUUGCUGUAAACAGGCCU